This 519-nucleotide long non-coding RNA is filed under the name Lupinus angustifolius (narrow-leaved blue lupine). RNAcentral's name for it is "long non-coding RNA (LANG_LNC001664)". The record is from RNAcentral. Lineage: Eukaryota; Viridiplantae; Streptophyta; Magnoliopsida; Fabales; Fabaceae.
GGUGCCUUUGUUUGUGCUGCUGUGAGUAUAUACUCUUUUUUUCUAUCUUAUCGUUUUUGCAUUUUAUUCAUAACUUUUAAAUAUAAAAAAAACAGGUAGGGUGUAUUAUAUUUUUUCUAAAUAAAUAUAUGUUUAACGUAUUCAAAUUAUAAGUAGACCAAUGAUGUUGGUUCAAGUGGUACAGGUUUGAUUCCCCUUAAGCAAGAAUUCGGGUCUUGUGGAUGGAAAAAAUGCAUGUUGGGAGAGUUAGCUCCACGUACUUGUGAAUGUUUUCAACUCGGACAAAAUUGCCUCCAAUAUGAAUAUACCUAUGGGAAACAAAAAAAAGUAUAAGUAGGAAUAUUUGCUGUCUGUGUAAAGGAAAACCUCAACUGAUAAUAUAUUUUAUACAUUCUUUCCAAAAUUUAUUAUAUAUUAUUCUACUGCAUCAUUUAUUAUUCAUGUUUAAUGUUAAUAGUGUAAGAUAAAUGAAUGAUAUAAAAUUUAUUAGUUAUAUCAACAAGACAUUAAUCAAAUGUG